GAUAAAAAAGUUGAACACCAGUACAACUAAAAACCUCACAAAUGUAUUUCACUCAUAGAGGAACUAAGGCAACUUUAAGUGAAGGAAAAUAAGAAAGCGAGAGGUUAGAAUGAGAGAAGGAUAACUAGAAUCCAAAAUCUAGUGUAAAUAAAAGUGAAGAGACUCCCUCCUUAUUUAGGAAAAGUAUAUCUAAAAAAGGAAAGCGGUC
RNAcentral lists this long non-coding RNA (208 nucleotides) under Lathyrus oleraceus (garden pea). RNAcentral describes it as "Pisum sativum (pea) long non-coding RNA (PSAT_LNC025080)". Lineage: Eukaryota; Viridiplantae; Streptophyta; Magnoliopsida; Fabales; Fabaceae. The record is from RNAcentral.